UCACUUAAGCCUGGUAUCCAUACCCAU
This 27-nucleotide non-coding RNA is filed under the name Rattus norvegicus (Norway rat). The record is from RNAcentral. Lineage: Eukaryota; Metazoa; Chordata; Mammalia; Rodentia; Muridae.